AAUGGUUUCGACGGGGGCAAGUUGCUCCUGGGAAGCGAGUCGAAGGGAUCCUGUACCUGCGUUAAAAAACUGGGAACUUAAAUAUAAUUGCAAACGAUAAUUUUGCAUUAGCUGCCUAAUAGUUGCAGCUCGUCAGCCUAAGAGUCCCACGACUUAGGGCCUGGCGUCGACAGUGGGGAACCGAGCCUUACAAAGCUUUGAGUAAGGAACGGAAUUAAUGAAGCUACUAAAUCUAAGAGCCUGUUUAUCGGCGCUUAGAGGAGGGAAUGUAAAAGGAUAAACUGCACUCGGAGAUGCCCAGGGGUUGCUGCUUUCGGACAGGGGUUCGAUUCA
Molecule: transfer-messenger RNA, 333 nt
Filed under: Clostridium botulinum
Lineage: Bacteria; Bacillati; Bacillota; Clostridia; Eubacteriales; Clostridiaceae
Rfam family: transfer-messenger RNA
About the family: Bacterial tmRNA, also known as 10Sa RNA or SsrA, is named for its dual tRNA and mRNA-like properties. Its role is to liberate the mRNA from a stalled ribosome.
Source: RNAcentral